Molecule: long non-coding RNA, 27228 nt
Filed under: Glycine max (soybean)
Lineage: Eukaryota; Viridiplantae; Streptophyta; Magnoliopsida; Fabales; Fabaceae
Description: long non-coding RNA (GMAX_LNC000927)
Source: RNAcentral
AUUUACUUCCUUACUAAAGGACUUAAUGAUCCAGGGAGGAAGCUAGUCUAGAGAGAAGCAGAAAAUCAAAUAAAUAAGGUAUAGAGCACCCUACAUACCUUGCUCAGAGAGAGGCAAAGACAAGUGCUGUUGAGGUACCGGUUCAACCAAGUGCCCAAGCAGCAACAAUAACUUAAAUACGGCGGAAGACAUCUAUUUCACCCGUGCCCAGAAAAGAAUCUUACAUUAAGUCCAAAGAUCCGGGGUAGGGAUGAUUGACACGUUGAUUUUAGUACCCCUUAAAUGAUAGGGUAGGUUCGUAUGUUUUUGUGAAAGCUCGGCUCCUGUUAUUGCUGAUGUCCAGUCAUCCACAUUUGAAUUCCUUGGAAAAGAAGGCUAACUGCUUGUUGGCUGGGAGCGAGCGGUAAGUCCAUUAGUUCGAUGAUUCUUCUUCGCCUUUAUUUAGAAGGCUUGUUCAAUAAAUCUCCUAAACAAACAGUAGGAAUUUGCUAAUCAAACGACCUAACUUAUUGUUUUGUUCACGCUCUAAGGAAGUGACUUGUUCAGCCUCUGCUGUUCUUGUUUACGACUCUACUGCUAUUGAUUAAUCCGCUGGGAUUGGAAUGCUUGACUUGCUUUCAAAGCCUUUCUAGGCUAACUCUUAACUAAGUCAAGUCCCAACAACGGCUAGCGAAGAAACUGUAGGGCUUAAGGCAGCGAAUGACCUGAGGGUAGGCAACUCAAUAGAAUAAUUAAGCAGCCUAACAGGAUUGGUGAAACUGGAUUGGUUGGAUGCUUUUCCUUGCUCUCUACUUUCCUAAGCCUGCUCACUGACUUCACUUGCUAGCUAGAAAAAGAUGCGAAGAGCCUGCUCUCAUUUGUUUAAAAUACAACUCCGGGGGCGAAGUCAUCUUAAUAGUCAAAGAGCCUGGGACUGAUGUAAAGGCUUUCAAAUGCUACAGCCUAGAGAUAAAAGAAAAUGAUAUAAGGGAAGGAAGAAAUCUACCUAUUCUCUUUUUUUACCUACCUUGGAAUUAUCCUUAGCCCUCCUAGAGAAACUAUUACCUCCUCGAGUACGAGCGCGAGUAAGAUAUUGAACGUCCCUCGUAUGGAUCGACAUGAAAUGAAAGAGAUUAAGAAGGGAAGGCGGAAGCUAAGGCAUUAGGAUAGGAAUGACAAGGAUAAGAACUAGACAGCUUCACUCCUGGCUUUUCAACUAACUGGCCAGGAGAGUUUACUUAUGACUUCCUUAGGACUGCAAUAGGGCUUGCUUAGUCACCUCCUUAACUCAUAGAAUGCUUGAAAACUAUCUUAAUUGUGACUUGCUUUCCAAAACCAAAACAGGAUAACUCAAAGGCUUGAUCACGGGAUUUGACUUCCUGCUAAUAAUCCUGCUGUAUAACCCCUCCGCAAGGUAACCUAUCACUCCGGGCUUACCUUCAAAAAGUGUAACGACCUAGAAGGUCUAGAAAAUGACUAUUAGUUAGACGGAAUAGUCAUUUCAUUGAAACUAUUACGAGGACUGUACUAGAACAGGCUCCCAUGGAACACAACUACACCUCGGCUUGCCUCUCAGUUGAAAGAGGAAGAUGCCAUGAGACUGAUCUGGAUAUUCCCUAAGUACAAGGAAAGAUCUCCAUUAUAACCCAACCCUGUACGUACCCUUUUGCCAUCGUAUCCCGUAAGCCCUUCUUUCUUUUAGCCAACUCCUUCUACUUCAAAUAGCUCUAUCCACUGGGACGGACUUUAAGCCUUUCUCUUCUUUACUUAACCUUGCUCCGCAACUGAAAGGGGUCGGUAGACUGACUUGCUUGCGGGACUAAUGCUAACAAAUUGCUCAACUACUCGCUUCAAGUCUCCCGCUCUCUUAUCUUGAAUCAGUGUGCACCGAGGGAGUCAAGAUUUAUAGAGUCAGUGUGCAGUGGCCUAUUUUUCAUUCAACUAAUUCAUAGUUCACUUAGCCCUCUAGCUAAAAGCUAUCAGUCAAGUUAGGAGGAGGGUUGAAUCUGUACUUCCUUUCCUUCCUCCAACUUCUUAGCCCCGAUCUUUGGAAUUUCCUAGUGAGGGUCCCGAUAGGGGCAAUCUCAAGGAUUCGUCCUACUUCUAGAUUGAACCACCUGAAAAAGGCUAUGGUGACGCUUUCUCACUCAUUGAUCAGGAUUUUUUGUCGUGUUAUUCGCAUUCUGUUUUGGCUACUCACGAAACUCUUUAUCCUUAAUAGGAAGAACUCCCUUUAGAGGAAGGAUACAAAGACCAAGCCUGUCUUUCUCUCUGAAAAAGGGCAUAUGGGGCAGGGCAGACAGACUAUUUUUGGGGACUAAUCUGCUAAUGAAUGAAGGAAGGAGAAGGCCUUAAUUGUCUAUCCAAAGGUCCGCCUUGGGUGGAAAUAGGCGAAUCAAGUGGGUGGGAAUGAUCCGAGCCCCCUAUGUCAAUUUCAGUAAGGUAACUAAGGUUUACAAUAAUUAAUUUCAGUAGUGCGUUACCUUGCUGCUCUAUCUAUCGGGUAAUCAGUCUCUUGGUCAAAAGCCGGUACCUAAUUCCCCUGCUGGUGGGCCGAUCCUCGUCUAGCGGUGGGAACCGGCUGGUAUGGAUCAAUUGCUUGCCCUGUCUCUCUUCUGUUCAACCAUCGAGAAUCCGCAGUUCUCUUUUUGGGUGGAAUAAUAGGCGAAGGAAUCCGCAGCUAUUGAAUCAGCUGUUAGAAAGGGACGAAGUGGCUUAGUUGAACAUAGUGGGACGGAAGGUUCAGAGGCUUCCCGUCCCCGGAUGGUGUAAGUCCUUCUCUUACUGUUGAAGAAAGCGAGAACGGUAAGUACUAAACUGAUAGAAGACUCCCACUUGUGGCUAAUAGUCUUUAUUGUGGGGCACCUUUCAGGUUCUGGAGAAAGUGCAUUCCUAGGCGGUAGCUUUCCAAGAGAGCCCUACGGCAGUGGAAUCGGCCGAUAAAAGAAACCUUAGGGCUGGGAAUCACAAGUGGCAUAGAGAUCCUUAGGAGUACGGAGCAGUUGUUACGCCAGGAAAGGCAGGAUUCCGUCCCACACAGAACGAACUCUACUAAUGUCUCUGACUUAUUCCUCCCCCUGGCCGAAGGUCAAAUAAGGAUCCGCUUUAAAGGGUAAUAGACCGACCAGCCGGACGAGGACAGUGUUUUCGGGAACCAAGUGGCGCGCGCCUUAACUGUACCAAUGAGCGGUACGGGGCUUCGGAGCGAAGGAAGACAAAAUGACUGAAAUUACUUUCUUUUCUGGCGAAAGCAUUCCGUAAAAGGUGAGAAGAGUGCGGCCCGAAAUAAAUAAGUAGGGCGUCCUCAGUACUUUGGCUUCAAAAGUUUCGCUACGCACCUCAGUCCUUACUCUUUCGAGUAAGCAAGCGCUACGCCCCUUUGAAGAUGGCCCAUAUGGGGUGGGUUCCUACUUCGCCCGCUAUAACUCUUCUUUUGCUGCCGGCCUUCGAGAGCCUUUUUGGUGCAUCUAAGACUGAAAAGAGUGAUGUGAAAGAAUGGCACAGUCAUUUCUAUUCUCGCUUUCUUUCCAGCACGGGGAUUCGCCCGAACGAUCUUACCGCUAGCCAACAUUUGAUUUUUUUUUCAUAGGAAUGAAUUUAUCUCUUCGUCUUGAUGCCUGCUAUCUUCCUAAACAGGAGAGAAAGAAAGCCCCAACCUCUUCCUUCUUAUACUAAGAGUCAUAUUCAAAGAUAUCCCCACACCGAUAAUGCCCUAUCCCUUUAUUUAGGGACUACCUUCGAGGAAUUCCUCUCGCGUCCCUGUAUUGAUAAGAGCGCAUUAUCUAACAGCUUUGAGACCGAGGCAGCCAUCCUCUUGCCAAUCCUAAACAAAAGAAAAGCCUACCCACCUUCAUUGGAAGAGUCAGGGGCAUUUACCUAUCAGUCCUAGUCCUAAGGCGCAAUCGGAGCACUAAGCCCUUAUACUUACUGCUUUACUCCGUAAAUUAGACCUCCUUCCCCGGUGCCUGAUGGUUAUUUCGGAUUAUGUGCCUGAGUGGUCUCUUAUAACUAUUGAUUAAACCUCCUCGGGCAUUAACGUUGUCACUUCCUUUAUUUGAAAAUCAAAUAUAACAGAAGCCAAAAAUUCAUCAUCCAACGCCACUGUUCCAUGCAAGUCAGAUUCGAGCACCCUCGAUGUAGACUUGAUUCUGCAAUUCGAUUAGUAGCUGCAGAUUAGGGUGAGUGCCUAUACCCGCGGGAGUCGCUGUAUUUGCUAGAGCAAGGUUGUUCGCUAGCUCGAGCCAGGUGUGUGGUUCUUGAACAUUACAAUUAGAAAAGGUAAAAUAAUGGGACAGAAUUUCCGAACAUUUAUAGAGUAAUGUUUGCGGGGAGUCCGUAGGAUCCGGAUUUUGAAUCCUCUUUCUUCCCAAUAGAGUUGCAGAUUCGGCUCAAACUGCUCAAUGCGGGCAAUCUUUCUACCUAUUUGUUUGGUUAAGUUGAUCUUCGGGAAGGCCGAGCCCCCCUUCGGUCCUUCUUGUAGGUUAGGUUGUUACGGGAAAGGGCUUCGGUUGAGUUCUGUUUCGACGGCUUUAGUUUGGAGGAUCUGAAAGACUUCUGCCGGUGCAAGCGAUCUCAUAGAUGGAUCACAGGGAAUAACUCAAGAUAGGAAAGCAUUAAUCGCCGGCCGGCAAACAAGCCUUCCCGUAGUCUUUCCGCCUAUGUCCCUUAGGCUCUCUGUCCUGCUCCCCGAAAGAGGAAAGCAAACAAGCCACCAGCACUUCAAUCAGUAAAGCUAGCCACUCAACUCGCUCUCUUCAAAUUCCCUUUUACAUUUUAUUUCAGAUCCUCCACCUAGCCAAGUAGGUCUCAAAAGGUUUACCCCGCAUAUGCUUAGUCGCCGCAAGCUCCAUAUAGGUUACUUUGCGGGCUACUGAAUAGAAUCUUCGGUGAAAGGCGUCUACCAUAUCGGCGCAACUAUUGAUCGAGUGCGUGUAUACCACGUGAAUGCGACACCCGAAAGACUAGCAGAAAAGUGCUUCAGCAACAAACUCUCAUCGUGAGCAGUGUCUCUGCUGGCAAUUUCGAAAUUACUAAUAUGCUGCUCUCGAGAUCUCCACUUCCAUCAUACAACCGAAACCAGCUAAGGAAGGAGCGAUCCAUAAGAAUCGCCUCGAAUAGCCAUAACCUCAUCUCGCCUUCCACCGCACCAGCAAGAGGAAACCGAAUUAGAGCUGAAAGAAUACUAGAGCCAUCGUAGGAGAACCGGAUUCUUGACCGAUCGACUUUUGCCCGAGGUCGUUAGGUCGAAUAGGCUAGGUUUACGAAAAAGAGACUAAGGAUGGACAUGACAUGGGGGAUGAAAUCCACCGCUUCUAAAGGAAAACCCUUGUCCGUUACCCAUUGACUUCAACACUUCAAUUACGAAAAACCUUUAAAUUAAAUUCCCUUUGACUUCGACUUAACCAACCGCAAGUAAAAGAGCUAGCUGAAAAGCCUGCUUGGCUUGCCCUACUGGCACCGUCCCUACAAGAAUCCCUAACCCGUUUUAGCUCCUAAUACAGAGCUCUAAGUUAUUGUUAUUCUGGCUUGUGUUCCUUGGUCCGUUGCUUGCUAUUCCUAUUAUAGAUAGAAAAGCUCCUAUUCCGCUUCCUCUUGCGCCUGAUCCUCUUCCGCAGUUCUUGCUUCCUUCACUUACUUACUUUACUACCUUAGAAAGGAAGAAGCUUAACUCAUACGAGCCUCCUUGCAUUGUCGCUCUACUCUUUUCUCGCUGUCUGGGAGCUCCAUUCAUCACCCCUAUUCACUUACGAAGCAACCGGACUCGCCUCAACAAGAGAAGCUGCAUCCCGUAGGGGCAGAAAGAGAACCGCUGCUUUGACUUGACUCUCCCCUGUAACCCUUUGCCCUCCUGCCUGCAGAUUGCCACAAAAGACGUGUGAGUACGCCCCUCAUGCUUUGCGUUGCCAGCUUUGCUUUGUCCAACCCCUUUGACUCCCUGCACCUAUAAAAUAACUAUACCCCACUUAAGGCUUCUUUCGAGGCAGUUAAAGACGGUGGAAGGACAGCAUUCAAACAAUUUAACAAUUGCCUGUUGAAAAAAUCCUACGUUAGAACCAGACUUUCAGCAAUCCCAGAAUGCGGGUGGCAGUGGGAUGUCCUAAAUCCCUUUGAUGAAUCCCAUCCAUGGAAUUUCCGGAAGAGUCACUCGCCAGAGCAGAGGAAGGGAAUUCGGAACUCAAUCACCAAGUUAACCUUCCCAUUGUCUAUGCCAGCAACAAAGGAAGAGGUGAGCUACCAACUCGUCACCUCCCCUCUCGUUCCACUUCUGUCUGUUCUUUCAUUGUCAAGUGUCGGACUCUGGUCUUUUUGGAACAAGAAAGUGUUCCGUGAGUGAGAUUUCCCCUCUCUUCUUUAAUCUUCCCAAAGCUCACUAAUUUAGUGAGAGAGGCUCUAAUGCUGCUAGCGACGGGUAGCUACUAGGAAGAGUUUACGGUAUGAAAUUUCUCGACUAUAAAAUUUCAUAAGAGAAGAAAGCUGCUAGCAGAGGGAAGUUCUACACUUUUUUGUUUGGAUUGAUCGAGUGUACUUUUUCUUUUCGAGAUUGGCUUGGUGUGCAGUGGAAAGAGGGUGGAAAAGAGUGGUAAGGGGGAGGGCGGCGCCCCUUGCUGUAGAAGAUCGAGGAACGUAGUGUCGGACUAUUAUACCACUUAACCGGCUUUUCUUUGGGAGAGGUAAGGUAUAGAGCUUGAAUCCCCCAGCUGACAUCUUAUUCUCCAUUGGGCAUCCUCAUGGCAUCUACUUCUUUAAAUAAAAGAUAAAAAGCUUUUGCCGCUCUUUCCUUGGCUUUCUUUCGCGUACGUGUGCUCGUCUAUCCUUUAAUAGAUAGAAAGAAGCAAUUUCUCUGUUCGAAAUCAAGCUACAGGCCAUCUUUGAUGGCGGUAGAACAGCUAGCAAGAGGUGCCCAGGUACCGUUAACAAGCUCAUGAAUUUUACUUUGAAGCGAACCGCGGCCACUAAAGGAAAGGCAUUGGUUCGCUUUCGUUUGUGGAAGGCCCAUGCAUGAAUGAAGUGAGGCUGCAUCCCAUUAUCUUGUUGCCUGAAUUUGAUACCAAAUGAGCGAGCGGAACUACGUUGCUGGCGAAAUACGCGAGUUCGGAAAGUGGUUACACGAAGACACUUCACUUGUCUGACUUCAACGGGGACUCCGUUAUAAAAGAAAAGAUUGAACGUUGGGAUAGAGAGUCUGAGUGAAUUGAAUGAAUAAGACAAAGUGAGAACUCGACUCUUACCUUAGAAACGAGAAAGGUGGAGCUUCUACCAUAUGCUUUACACAUGCUUGGCGGACUAUCUGAAGUUCUUCCAGCUAUAGAAGUGGAACGAAUGAACUAUUCAUAACUACUUUACGUUAGCGGAUGAGUUCCUUUCCUCUACCUUCUCGUACGAGUUUCAAUCACAAAGACUUGAAGAAGCGCUACUUUUAUCGAUUCUGAGAUGAGAAAGAAGUAGAACGAGAGUGGAUCGCGGGGGAAUGCUUACCGAUUAGUAGAUUAGAAGCAUAGUCCUAGAGUGGCGAGAUGUAUCCUUAUUACUAUAAUAAUAAGAGGAGAUUUCUUUCUAGACUGGUUCUUAUCCCCAGUCUCUAAGACCGUAUCGUAGAAACUUAACUGCAUUAUUUUGCUUGUCUUCAUUGGCAUCACGCUAUGCCUGGUGGUUUGAUGUUAACUUUCCUAACUUACCUAUUCUGGGUGCUGUGGUAUGCGUCCUCAUUCACCUACCUUCGGAGACUGCAAUCAAUACAGGGCUACAGUCUUAGCUCUUACUGUUAAUCCCCAGUUUAGCAAGAAUCUCCUGUUCUUAUUCUCGAAGAAGUGGACAAAUCUGCUUUGGCAUGAAGAGAGGAUGCAUAGGAUUUAUGACUAGUAAUCAGUUAAAUUUGCAGCGUAAACGGUCUUAGCAUGGUUAGCACUUCCCUGUUAAUGCGUAGGCUAUUUUAACUAAUCCGAAUCUGAAAAAGAGGAGGGGGUUUUUAGGCUGUGACAAGGUCCAAAAGAGAUAAGUCUAGCGGGAAGAAGGGCGAAUCCUUCCAUAAGAAGGAGCAGAGGCAAAAGGCGGCAGGGGGAAUUUUGCGAAGGGCGACCCCUUUCACUAAGGGGAAGGGAUCUGACCAAACUAUUUAGCCAAGAGGAGAGCACGCCGGUCGCAAGAAGAAGUAGUUUCAUCUUUGUCUUUCAUGACAAGGAGUCUUUAAGAAUCGGAUUGUAAAGGUAGCGUUUCGGUUCAGAUGAAGGAGUGUAAAUAGUAAGAGGAGAACCAGCUUUUCUCUUUCUCUAGUUUGAUGCCUUCUUUUCGUCCAUCAUCCGUUGAAAGAGGCACCCAAGAGAUGGGUAUGAUUUUGGUUCAAGGCUCAAGUGAUUCACCAACGGAGUCUAGGCCGUGUGGUUAAGGGGGCCCUUUUGUGUAGGGUACUUUUAUUUAGAUGGCUGAGCAGCUUUGUUCGGAAUGACUAUGACUGGGCACGAUGAGUAUGAGUGAAAGGGCACUUUCGAAGUCGAAGUAGCAAGAUCGGGUUGACAGCCUAGGUUCCCUUAGCGGUCAGACUCUUUCAGGUAGAAAAAUUCCCAAAUGACGGAGUUCAAAUCUCAGUCACUAGCUUAUGAGUAAUAUGCUUAACACUAGCUUGUCGAACAUCCAACUACUUAAACUGGGACGGGACCAAUCAUGUUGAUUGCCUAUCCGACCCAGCUCUAACAACUGGUUUGGUUUUUGAAUCACAGACUUUAUCCUCUCAAUCGGAGAGGCCUCUAGUCCCCAGUUCUAUUAUGAAAUCCUAUUUGUUUUUCUUACCAAGGUAGUUGACUUGCUUACUUGUUAGAGUAAGGAAGAAAGAAGGCUUACAGGCAGGGAGUUAGAAGAGGGGUUUUUCCUUAUUAGCUAGCUUCGCCGGACUGACUUCAGGUUAUUCAGGGUUAUGACUACCUUUAACUCGCUCACUCGGGCGCAAUACCCAUCCUUCUUGAGCUUCCCAUUAACCCAUUUAAUGCGGAUUAAAGGAUGAGCUAGCCCUCCUUAAGACAUAUAGGUUUCAAAACCAGUUGCGGAAGAGCAGCUAAGCAUCAAAAGAUAGGAAUAGAAUAGCUGAUCUUUACUCCUCUGGGCGCUCUAAAGCUAAAGCUCCUCUUCUUGUCUGGAAGGGAAUUCACGCACUCGGACGAAGGCAUUCCAGUUCAAAAACGAAUAACUAAUAUUCGGCUAAACCUCGUGUUCCAACCAAGUCUUACAACCAAUCGUAUCAUCCUGAUCACUGAUCAACGGGAUCGGAUCCUGGGUACAGAAAAGACCCUGAAUAGCUUAGCUAAAGGCAUCUUCCCACCUUUUAUCCUCUCUGUAGCUACGCAGAGAGUCUUCUUCUAUAUGGCUAGCUCCAAUUCCGUCUAUUUGGAAAUGGGCAAGAUAAGCCCUUACUCGUGCUGCAAUCAGGCUUGGCACCUUCCCUUAUUCUCCUUCCUUUUGGUAGUGCUAAGUAAUCGAAAAUCUCCUAUGGCUAUUAAGGAUCGCCUUUCACCUGUGUGAUGCAAUUCUUUAGCGGGGAAGUUUUCGUUAGCUGGUAUAAGCCACCCUUCUGUAUAACUUGCGCCGGGAAGGAAUAGAAAGCGGGGAGAAGGUCUCAGUGUAGUCGAUGUCCUCUUUCAGAGUGAACCCCUUGGCGACAAGCCUGGCCUUCUAUCUCUCAAUCUUGCCUUUUGAUUCCCUAUUGGUCUUAUCAAUUUACACCCUACGGGCUUGGCUCAUUUUCUUUCUCUGGGUUUCAGAGUGAGUGGGUUAAGGAGCCUUUUUCCGCCUUUCGUCUUUCCAGUCAAGCAGUGGUUCCUGCUCUUGCCUCUCAUGAAUCUACUCGACCAUUCCGGAAUGAGUGAGCUUUUGUAUCCGUAUUGAAGAAUCCGGUUAUCGACUCGGCAGCUAUGGAAUCUAAGCCAAUUGAAUCAGCAACCGCUGGUACAGUAAGCGGUGUUCAAAUAGCCGUUGUUGGGAUCUUCUCCGCUGCUAGCUCUUCUUCUUACUAGGUUCUGCUUCCUCAUAGUUCUCUUGAACAUGAUUCUCUCAUACGCACUCCUAUUAAAGGAGUUAGGAAGCCAAGAUCUGAUCUGAGUAGUUCUGGUAGCCAAUGAGCGCUUGUCUGGUAUCGAAUGAGCUCAAGUAGUUGAGUAGCUAAAGGCUUUGGUUGCCUUAGAGGAAAGUCCUAUCUUCGGAUAGCUUCCUACAGACUUCUUCCCUUAUUUAUUGAAGUUCCUGGAUUGUGUGAAAUAAGAAAAUAGGGUAUUGACUUAUUUAUUAGCAGCUCAAGCUCCAUUUCAAAGGUGAGGAGUGAACCUUCUGGCUGAUUCAAUAUCACCGGAGUCUGCUCAGGGUUCCAAACCAGAAGCGAAGUUUCUUUUCUACGAUACACUGGAAUCGGGUCUAUCUUAAGCGGGAAGAAAGCCUACCGACGGGUAUGAAGGGAUUCGGCAUUCAAGAACUCCCUCCCAGCCAUCCUAUCUUGUGUAAAAAUAGCUUUCAGGCCAGUACUCUUUCUCUCCUGGAAGCGAAGGCAGGAGCAAAGCCUAUUGAUUCACCUGUUUGCUAACCUACUUGUCGGCUACCCGCACUCUGUAACCAGAAUAGGGCUCUGGAGUUCAUACCACCCGGCGGUUCAUCAGAAGUCUGGAAGGCGGCGCCUAAACUAGUCGGACUUGCUUGAAUCGAUACGCUUACCGGACUUCUCUGUCUAUUCAAUUGAUUUUGUUGCAGACUCUUCCCCCGGCCCAGUAGUGGAGCUUGACCCUCGCCCUACGCCGAUUGAGAUCUUUCCUUGUGCGGUACAGGUAAAUUUUGCUCUUGAGGGAAUACCCGGUUCAUCGGAACUUCAACCAGAAGAGGUAGGCUCGGGUUCCUGGUAUAGGUAUAAGAAAGCCAGUAGAGCUAAAUAGAGGUAGACUUGACUUCUAUGCGUACUGAGCUUCGGUGCUAAUGCUUCCCGCAGGGAUAAACUUUCUUAGUCAGACUUCCUUGAUAGGUGAGACUUCCACGAAAGCACUUAUUAGAAUAGAAGAAUCUUAGUAUGCAAGGCCUUCGAUCUAAAGGGAGCUUCGGUGUGUUCUUUGCUUUUAUAGAAGAUCCUCCGCUGCUGCUAAAGGAAAUGGUUCUUAGGUCGGUGAAACUGUCCCUGUAGCUAAAGUCAAGCCAGUUCAUUCAUUCAUGGCAAUCGGUCUAGUAAGGAAGAAGUGAGCUGUAGCCUUAGUCUUAGUACGCGCACUAGAAGGGGCUACCGAAUGCGCCAGUGAGACAAUCAAAUCUUAUUUGUGUGCCGCGAAGGGCCUACCCCUUGAAAAUGGAAGGGCAUGGAGAAGCGGAUUCCUACUUCUUAAUAGAAUAGCUUGAUCGACCACCAUCCUUAUUGACCUUCCCUCGGGUUGGUAUGCUUGUGUGUCAAGCAAUCCUGCUUCGGUAGCAGACUUCGGUCAAGGAAAUCGCUUCAAGCAAUGGCUUUGGAUCGACCUGACUUCUUAGAGAGGAAAGCCAGUAACUCUAGAGUAGAUAGAAAGAAAUAGAAUCGAGUACGACAGAACCAGUAGCUUUGAGCUUGAGCUUGAACUUCAGCUCUCACGACCCAGCUGCUAUUGAAUCCGCGUAAGGAGAUGCCGAUGAGGGUACAAUAAUAGAGAAGAGAAAAUAAUUAGCUUUGGUUCAGAGCUUGAAUCAUAAUAUCCUUCAGUCACUCCAGGUGAGAAGUUCGGCUAAGCCGGAAAGAGUUAGAUCCUCUUUGAGAUGAGAUGCGGCAAUGUCCUAAUCAAAGCAGGCGCAAGGUCAAUGAUUUAGCUCAAGGCUCUUCUUCUUGAUAGCAUGGGUCUCGGAAGGCCCUCGCUCUAAAGGGGCUGCUUGAUGGCAGCUAUCCUGCUCUGUCUUAGAUAAUUGGAAUGGAAUUGGUAAGGUUCGACAGACUAAUGUUUAACACCUCCUGCUUUCAUAUAGAUGUUUUAUUCUCUGACCGCCGGGGAUUUAUGAUUUAUAGAUCUUCAACGACUUCCGAGAGAGACUCAUGCUACGAUACGAGUAGAAUACAUAGGGGUCCUGGUAAACCAAAUCAGGUUUUUACGUAUACCUUUUAUUGGCAAAGUCGCAAUCCUGACUUCGGGAGCAGACCUUUUUGAGAUUCAUUCUUGCAUUCCAGUCUAACUAUCCUUUCUGUCUGUCACUGGAUUUCUCCACUACUUGACUUGCGACUUAAGCUAGCAGACUGAGCUUUACUUUAGCUUGAGCGAGAACGAAGGCCAGACAUCUCUUUUGAACUGCUUGACUUCGGAUCAGAAAUGAGUGAAUUGAAGUCAGUACCGCAUCCCAUACCUGAGUUCACAGUCGAUUCUCAAAAAGGAAAAGCAAUAGCAUCGUUUCGUUCCAGUGCCCUAAGAGUCCGACACUAAUUGUAAAGAGCCCCCAUAACUAUACAGUCAUACGGACUACGAACUAUUAACUCAUUGUCCACAUCUAACUGUAGAGGGGUAAAUGAAUAGCUACCUGAUUCCAAAAGGCUAUUCACUAAUACUAAUAGUAUAUUAGUCAUUUGAAAUUGUUCUUCUAAAUGCAUCUCAUAGAUCAACCAUAUAUACAUAUAUAUUCAAAUUUAUACACUGUGAUUUUAGAACCCUGAGAUGUACUAUAAGAUCUAUAUCUCACAUGCAUAUUACCAGCCCUUAACGGUGUUAUAGUUAUGGUCAUUGUCAUGCUCAUAUUCCGACAUCUAAUGGGAGAUAAAUGCCUUGGGGUGAGACGGUCUCCGAUAAAGCCAGAGUUAAGAUGAUUGUUGCUCAUCGAAAAGGGGGGGGCCAUUCAAAGCUCAGUGGUAGCACUCUACUUCGGUACUAGGCCUGACUAGAUGUUCGGAAUCUGAUGACCAGCCCGACUUAGACGACUAAUGCCUUCUCCCAACCUCAAAAGUUUUUAGGCAAGAAAAGAAAAAGCGAAAAAGAAGCAACUCCUUGAGCGCUAGGAGAGGGACCGCCUUAGGAUGGGGAGGAGGAAUACGAGGCAAUUAAAUGGUUUUUGGUUGUAUAGCAUAAAAGUGACAAAAUCGCUUUCUUUUUCGAUAGAAAGCCCCAAAAUCCAUGUUCGUCUAGUGAAAAAGCCAGGGUAUGAAAGAGCUACAGCAAAGACAAGAUUGAAUCAUAUUAUUCCGUUCUUGCUUUCCUAUUCAAGAUGGCUUUACAGCAGGUGUGCUGACUUGACCCGAGGAGAUCCGAUAGCUUGUGCUUCCCUGCUUACUUUUUCUAUUACCUCAACUGCUUUCGACCUGCUCACUUAGAAUGAAGAUAAAUAAUGGGCUAAAAAUCAACUAGAGUAAGUCGACAAGCGAGAGACCCCAAGACAGAAUUGGUCUUUUCUACUUUCCUGCUCUUGCCUUGUUAGCCUGGUAAGACGAAUCUGUUUACUUCUUUAUAGUUCUCUUCCCGACCAUACGUCAAAGUCCGGCAAUUGAUCUCUGCUGUACCUGGAAUCCAAGUAAUCCAUCCGCGAAAGGGACGAGACGUACGGGAAUGAUUGAUUCCAUAAAGAGAGGGCUUGCGAGGUCCCCGCUAUGGCUUUUCUUUAUUCCUUUUGUGCCGUCAUGACGACUCGAAAAGACAAUUCAUGAUGGUUUAGGUUUAGCCUGUUCUACCCUCUCCCGUUACUGAAAGUUCAUCUUUUGAUUUCCCCGGAUAAGCCUUUCGUCCGGUUUUCUCCACGACUCCCGCUCCCUUUAAUGCUAUUAUUAAUAUAUAACGACUGAUUACUUCUCGGAUCCAUUCAUUCCAUCUUCGCCUUAUUGGAUUGGAAUUCUUUUGAAUCAGAAAAGAAGAUGGGAUCCUAUUUCAUUGCUUUGGGCCGGUAAUAAAAUAUUAAACCGAUUGACAAUCAUCUUGGUGAUGACUUAUAGGUAUAGGUCACAUUACACAAGCUAAUCGGUAUGAAUUGACUAAGGUCGGCAAGUUUCCUCUCCUGGAAAGUUUGCUUAACCAUGUUGUACAAAACAAAGAAUGGUCUAAGGUGUGAAUUCUUCCAAGAGUAGGAGGGCUCACAGUAAGACCGGGUAUAGCAGUAAUUGGACUUCAAUAGGCUAGGGCAAGUCAGUUUGAAAGCAAGAGUGUUCCCUAGGCGAUACGAGGUAAGAGUUUGCAGGCCAAUUCCCUAAUUCCCUUAUAUACAGUGAUUCAAUAAAAGCAAGCACAAGCCUGUGAGAAAGCUUUUUAAAGUAGGAAUGAUUUUAGGCAAGCUAAGUCCUAGGGAAACCCUUUUGGAGUGUUUUAAGCUCAUCUAAUCCUUUUGGAGUUCUUCUACCUGGGAAGGCUAACAAUAAUAGAUGGAUAUUGAUUUCCAUGAUAUUUUCUUUAUAUGGUGGAAUACUCGAAUGAAUAUUUUUUGAGGACUCCUAACAAAGGCUUUCUGUCCCCAGGUCUAACUAUCUUUCUUUCUUUGGUAGGUCAAGGGAUAGUUGUGCGGGGGUGGCAAUAGUACUUCGUUCGAGUGCUGCUUUAGUGAAGGCAAUUGAGCCUGGUAGCGGCCGCUACAAUUGUAGCGAUAGUCGGGCAGCAAGCGCCGGUCCUAGCCCUAGCCGGAUGGGCUAUCCACUAUGGUUUCGGAAAGGAAUAGGGAUAGAAAGGAAGGGAGAUGAAAUGCUCAAAGAAAAAGGAAUUCUUUCAGAAGCUCAGUCCGGAGUGAAUAAGGAGGGGUAGUUUGCAACUUCAGUAGUGAACUUUCAUUCAUCCUUCUUUGGAUAAAUUGAUAAUAGAACAGAACGAGUUCUAGCGAGUCAACUGAUUUUAUAACUUUCAAUAGGCAGUCCGCAAGACUGUGAAAGCGAAGGAUAAACUUCUUUCUUUGAUCACUUAUUUUAUAGGCUGAAGGAUAAACUCCAUCUAUCUAGUAGUAAACUCAGUCUCUGUAGGCGGCGAAGCCUUACUUUACUGUUUACUGUACUUUAUUUAAGUUGGGAAGUCCUCAUCUAGUAGAACUUGCCUCUAAGCGGAUAGUUCUCAUGGUUUCAAUCCGUCUUGUCUUUCGGGUCCUCACCAUUUCAAGCCAGUAGGAGUCCGUUCAAGUCAGUACUCACUUCAGGUAGUAUGUAAUAGUCGAAUAGUUGCUCAGGAUGGAUGGUUGCUUGCCCUGUCAGAAAGCUAGGCUCUGUCGAAGGAGAAAGCGAAUCUCAGGCAACGUUCGAAGCUAAUCGUUUACCCAUUGGUCACCUAUACUAUAUAUAUAAAUGGAGUAUAGAAAGGAAAUCUGAUCGGUUUCUCGAAGAAUCCAAUUUUGUUUUUGUUGUUGCAUCUUCCCCGCCCGAUGACUAAGCUAUUUAGCCCACUUUUUAAACUGUACCAGCCACUACUUUUCCCCACUUUCAAGAGAAAAAAUUGUCAAUGGCAGGUAGGUAAGUAAAUGAUUAGGCAUCCCUAGAUGAGAGGGACAGUCUUUCUCAGGCAUGAUUAUCCGCCAAUGAAAACUAGUAAGAACCCUCCACUAGAAGAGAAGCAAGUGAAAGAAAUAAAGGUUGAGAAAUCCAUGGUUGGGGCAGGGGUUCAUGCAACCAAACAUUAAUGAAUUCAUUUGCAUUCCUCUUCGGGUUCAUUGGAGUCUCAGGUAAGGCCUAGAGAAGGGAGAGGAAGCAGCGCUCUGAACUCAUUGAUUCAGAGACAAUAUUUGGUAAAUUGCAGUGCUUGCCGAAGGCGAGGUAUGCUUUUAGGAGUGAGAGUGAACAGCUUUCUUUGCUGAGUUCGCAGCGUACCCACCUUACUGAGUACGAGAGACCUCCGCUCGAGAAUAGGAAUUGACUCUUAUUAGAUAACGAGAAUCGAUGUCUUUGACAUCGCUGAGAUAAAGUCCUUUGCCGAUGUUGCAGCGGGACUCCCCAUCAAAGUGAAAAGGAGAGUUAGAUUCCGCCGAAGAAAAAACUGCUGAAUGGGAGACUAUUGAAAAUAGAAAGAAUGACAUAACCUAAUUCGGGUGUUAUGGCCUCGUCUUUUCUUUUUGUUGUGGUCAUCUCUUUGUUUGGAGAGAUCCAUCUUCCUAUGGUUGCCAGGUAAGACUUCGAAUUGGCUUAGCGCGUAGUGAUCUAUGUGCUUAUGCCUUCAAAACCUUUCUUUGGACUUGAUCCUUUCACUACGUUUGGAAUGGAUCGCUCAUGUGAACCCGAGGCCUAGAUUCAGUCUUGCUGGGCACGGUUUUGAUUCAUUAGCCUCAUAUGAAUGACUGAAAUCAUCUGCAUUUGCCCUCCUCGAAAUCAAGAGUGGAGCUUGCAAGUGCACGACCCAUCACCCCGUCAUAAUAUCUAUUGGAACUAGUCUUGAGUCGGUGCAACCGCGAGUGGAACUGAUCGAAGUCUCAAAUCUCUUAUUUUUAGAUUUUUAGUCCAAUCUGGUGUGUACUAAUGAAUUUAGUAAGUCCUUCUCCUAUCCAAAAAACAAUAUAAUAUAAACAAGAAGGAAAAGGGAAGUCCUAAACAGGUACUUCCACACCACAUUGAAAGAGUUUCGUGGAGUAUAUAAGGCAUCCCCUGAUCUUUUUUGAUAUCACGACUCUUGCUUCACUGGGAAAUCAAAAAUGUGACCUCGUCUUCGUCAAGACUAGUGCCUGCUGCUUGAAGGGGACUGGAAGAAUAUCUAAGACUAUUCUAUUACCUAUACCUAAUCGAUUCACACGGUAAAUCCAUGCAGGAAUGGAUGAUUACGCCAAACAAAUCUAGUUCGAACUGACAUAGCUAUACGAGAAUAAAUUUUAUAAUAGGAUUUUCGUACAUAUUUUGGGUUCAAAGGCGAAAAACGCAUUUUAUAGCAGCCGAAAAGAACACCGUUCGCCAAUUCGGCCGAAAGCGCAAAAGAGCGAAAUCCAGGCUAGGCUGCCAAUUGCUAUUCAAGCAUCUCAAACCAACUCUAUCUGUAACGAUUGCUAUUUCAUCUCCAUGAAGAGGAGCUUAUGCUAAAGGAACUGGUGAUCCCUAGCUUGAGACUCAAACUCCGGAAGCCGACCUUCCAACAUACAUUGUGUGAGAAGACUAUUCCACAUCAUCAGCCAAUUAAGCUUAAGCGGCAACCUUGAAAGAGGGUAACCAGCAUCAAGCUCUAAGGAUGGGUAUUAUGUACCAGCUCGAACCCCUGACGGCCUUAAGUUGCAUCUUGAGUCUUAUUAAUUAAGAAUGGGAGGUGAAGACUCCCGCCGCCUUAUACCGGCUUGGGGCGCAAAAGAGAGAGGCCAACAAUAAACUAGAACAAUUCAGCUGAUUUCUCGACAUUGACGACAACCUACUCUUCGCGGCAGGAAUUCGCCUAGGAAUUUCCCAUCUCUGGCUCAAAUAAGCGGAAGCAUAACCAUAACCUAAUUGCGAAGCAAUACAAUAUGCUUCAAAGCAGCCGUUUGGAGAUUGACAAUGGAAGUUAAGUUGGUCAAGACUUCUCUUCCUGUGUAGAAUUCAGAUGAAACCGUCAAAACAAUCAAUAUAGAAAGACGAGUGCCAUCUCCGCUUACUAUUGAAAGAAAGACAGGUGGCACCCACCUUUUAUACUCGGGACUUAUUCUAUAGGCUAUUCUCUGGGGUGAAUCUUCUUCCUAAUCUCUUUAGAACUGGGAUUUCAGCCUUUAACCCUCAAGCUAAGCUUAUUCGCCCUUCUUGAAAACUUAUUCGAUAAAACUCUUCCCUAAACUGACUAUUCUAGUUAUAAGGGAAGCCUUAAUAGAAAGGAAUUCCAGAUCGGUUAUUACAUCUACGCUGACUCUACUAGACCACCUUUGGCUCAUUUUAUUGAACUUGGGUCUGACUGCUUUACUCAAAAACCUUCUUUAUAACAGAGCCUAUUCUCUUACUCUUCUCUCUAAUGUCAAAUGAAAGAGUUUACUAUACGACUUUACACUAACAUAAAGAUAACUACUUCUCCUAGUCUGACUUCUUACCCUUUUCCAUUAGAAAAAGACUAAGGGGAGUACUAGCAGAUUUAUCCUCUUAAUCUCUCUUUUUAGUGAGGAAUUUUUUACAAUGAAAGAUAAUUUGCUUAGAAGCUAGAGCUAGGAGAAGAUAGGACGGUUGAUAUGCCUAAUCUAAUCCCUUUUACUUUUAUUUUAGUUAGAUUUAGGAACUUAACUCGAAGGUAAGUAGUAUGACUAGGAGAAGAAGAUCAAUCUAUUGCUUAUGUAGCUUACCCCUUAGACUUUUUUGAAGAAGGUUCUGUUACUAACAUGGUUACUUCCAUUAAUAUAUUUGGGUUCAAAGCCCUACGCGCUCUACGGCUGGAAGAUUAGCGAAUCCCUCCGGCUUAUAUUAAAACUUUCCAAGGCCCGCCUCAUGGCAUCCAGGUUGAGAGAGAGAAUUUGAACAAAUAGGGUUGUCCCCUGUUGGGAUGUACUAUUAAACCUUAAUUGGAGUUAUCCGCUAAAAACUACGGUAGGGCAGUUUAUUAAUGUCUUCGUGGUGGACUUGAUUUUACCAAAGAUGAUGAAAACGUGAACUCCCUGAGUUUAUUAUCUUAUUUUGUGCCGAAGCAAUUUUAUAAAGCACAGGCUGAAACCGGUGAAAUCAAAGGGCAUUACUUGAAUGCUAGUACAUGCGAAGAAAUGAUCAAAAGAGCUGUAUUUGCCAGAGAAUGGGGCCUUCCUAUCGUAAUGCAUGACUACUUAACAGGGGAUUGAAUACUAGCUUGGCUCAUUAUUGCCGAGAUAAUGGCCUACUUCUUCACAUCCACCGUGCAAUGCACGUAGUUUUUGAUAGACAGAAGAAUCAUGGUAUCCACUUCCGCGUACUAGCUAAAGCGUUACGUAUGUCUGUUGGAGAUCAUAUUUACUCUGGUACCGUAGUUGGUUUAAUGCCUUAGGGUACUUUAGUUUAGAUAGCUAUUCCUAGAAAGAAACUAGGCACACUCGCUACGAAAAAAUCUAUAUUAGCUCCCGCUGAGUCAAUAAUUGCAGAUUCUGAUUCAAUUGCUACAAGUCGGUACGAAGACAAGAAGACGAUUCACCUCUAGAGAAAUCUUAUCUUCUUAUCCAAUCUUAUUAAAUAAAUUUUAUCUUUAAGCCAAGUAAGCCCUAUAGGGAAGAGAUAAAAGCUUAUCCCCCACAGGGCACUCUCUUUAAAUUACAUAUGUUAGCAAUCACGGCUUAUUCAACAAUCGUGAAUUGAAUUAUCCUUGAGUCAGGCCUAAGCCCGGAUUCGCUCUCAACUAUUGCUUCUUAUGCCCUAUAACUCUAAUCAGAAGGAAAAGCUAUUGGCUUGAAUCGCUUCGCUCCUUAAAUAGCAGACAAGACGCGAUCAGUCAAUACCAGGCAAAGUCCUUACUUACCAGACCGACCGGUCUCAAAGCGAGAAAGACCCGGCGCAUCUCUUCCUUAAUAGCCUAAGGCCGGCGAUAAACUAUAGGCACUUUCCUUUCUCUCUUCUCUUAGUAUCUUAGAGCUAACUUCAGAGACCAAAAAAAGGAAUAUGCAUCGUCAUAAAGAGCCUUAUUCAAUAAGCAGGCGAGCUCCGAUUAACUGCCCGGCAAGACGCGCUCCUUAAUAUAAUAGCCAUAGAGUCAAUACCCGGCGAAAGGCGGAUCAUAGAAUCCGCUGUUUGAUAGGAAGAAUAGGCUGUAUAUGUUAUAAACUUCAAGGAUGACGGACUUCUAUGCGGAAACCGGAGAAGUAGGUACCCGAAGUUACCGAACAAACUAGCCACUCGUUGAUUAGCAGCCACCGUGAGGCCUGCUACUUUCUGGGCAGAGGAAAGGCCAAUUUGUCUCAAAUGGUAGAAUCGCUGCCAUUGGGGAAAAUGCUUUUGGCAAAUCGUGUACCCCGGCAGAGAAUUCAAUUAUGAUGGAGCUCGCUCCGUGAGAAGAGACUAAUCUGUGAAAUGACGUGGAAGUUCGAUUUGCUUUUCUUUGUGGUCUACGCCCUACCUUUCUUAAGGUAAGAAAUAAGAAACAACAUUUGAAUCUUGGUUUUUACUUUUUGAAAUGUAGUUAGUCUCGUAGGAUAAAGAAGGUGUGUACCUAUGUCCCGAAAUCCGGAUGUGGGACCAUCCGCGAGCCUUUUCCUUGAGUUAGCGUUGAGGGCCCAGGUUGUCUGCCCCAUUGGCCUAUGGCUAAGGUGCAUUUUCUUUUUGUUGAGUUGUUGUAGAAGGGGGUUUGGGGUCUAUCACCAUUUCGGUAUGGUCUUAGGCGGGUUCACCGCUUUUUGCUAAGCUGAGUCUAACUGCUGACCUCCCGUCUCAAGUCCCUCUUUUUCUUGCAGGAGCGAUGUAAACUAUUAGGCUAGCCUUCUAAUGGAAUGGGCUAAGUUACCUUUCUUUGUCUUUAUUUAGUUUCCCUGCUCUCUUGCAUCCAGUACUGGCUUUCUCUUUCAGGUAGUGAAGUGUAUACCAUUAUUGAUGGUGCACGAGCGAUCGUCAUCUUAUUCUAGCUUUCUUUCCUUUUUUGGAAGCAUUCCCGAUCCUUUCCUUCCCCUCUUUCCAGUGGUCGAAGCCGGCUAAGGGCCAUUUCCUUUGCCAGCCUUCCAGUCUUAAGUAGUCCAAUCCCCUUUUUUCGUAUCGUAUAGUGAAGAACUGGUUUUCCGUUAGUCCCUUAUUCUGAUACUGAGAAGGGGAACUUCUUCCUUUAGGAGUUGGAAUCUCUGAAAGGAAGAAGUCACACCUUAGACACGGUAGGUAAGAUUAGAACUUAAAGGCCCUUAGACCAUUACACAAUGGAGCACUUGCUUACACCACUAGUUAGAGAACUGGGGAAGGGGUGCGAAAGAGUUCAACACUACGCUCAUUUCGUAGAUCUACGAUUUCAGGGUUAAGGAUUUUUGCUUAGCUGCUUAGCGAAUCCCCUUGCUUUUAUGAAACUUUUCACAUUAUCUUUGUUUUUCUCGAUGCUUUGAAUAGCUAUCCGGAUAGCAGAAGUGCAAUCAUUUGCGAAAGCUCUUUCUUCUCGCUCCUCUACUUGACUUGUAUUAGUAGGGCGAGUGGCUAUCGCUCCUCAAACUCUUCAAAAGAAGCCAUCCUUGCACCUUAUAAAUCUAAGACUGUUGUUUCCUUUAGGAGCGGAAAUGCCGACAUCUACUAUUCCAUCAAAGAGCCUAUUCGUCGUAAGCCCUUCUAGUUCAUCUACAUCAGCUAAUAUCGAAUCGCCUGUUGUGCCCCGAGAAUGGUCUGUUACGGGCUAUCAUUCGUAUCUUAAGGCAGUUCAGUUGAUCGAUCCAGGUCCAGUCCGCCUCUCUUCGGGAAGGAGGUCAAGCAGGGCUUCUUUAACCUUGGGGAGUUCUUCUGAAGCUAUGUCCGCUGACGAAGUUGGGGAGCUUGGCCAGUCUCUCUAUCGCCCUGACCUUCGAAAGAGGAUCCUCUUUUCUGGCACUAAGUUAUCCUUCGCCCGAUUCGACAUCGGAAGAAGCCCCACUAUACUAGAUUUAAGCAAUUCGGGUGUGGAUCCAUCAAUGGCUAGACGCACUUCACUUUCUAUCGGACGUCCGGUCGGUGGCAGGAAUUACUUAAAAGGCCUCACCUGACGAGCUAGCUUCGCCUGAGGCUCUUGUGGCUGCUGCGACUAAACUUGGUUGGUGCUCUUGCUUCGGUCGAUCGAAGAAAGAUGGUGUCAGUGACCAGAGAAGGUCCCUCUUUCUUUAGAGAAUGACCGUGGUCGUUUCGCUUCCUCUCUCUAUCGGUCGAGUGACUUUCACUUCCUUUCCAUUGCGACAGGAUUGAAUCAGCCGCUUGAAAGCCUCCUUUUCUUCGUUAAAUCGCGAGUUGGAAAGCUUUUUGGGGAGAUUUCCUAUAGCCUAACUGGAAGCGCCCACUGGCUUAAGAUCUUGUGGGCUUAGCACGCCCCUGUGACGAUCGAUCUUCAAGCAUUGGGCAAAUACAAAUAAAUAAAUGGAUGGAUCGUCCCCUUUACUUGAAAGGGAGGGCUUUCGUACCAAACCUGUGGCUGAAUGGUUAAAGCAUUCCUUGUUUUGACCGCAGCACCAUAUCUUGACCCUUUUCUCGAAUUGGUCCAUUUCGAGUUGGCCCACUCCCCUUCGACUGGUUCUCAAAGGAGAAGAACUGAGAGAGUAUGCUAUGCGCAGACUGACUUGCUGCUUGCUUUCUUUGAGGAAUUGUGGAGUGAAGGUUUCAGUCGAUUGAGACUCACUAUUAGUACUUAAUACCACACCUUAAUCAAAAUCAUACAUGAGAGGCGAUAAAUCGUCUGAUUAAGAAAGAAGGGGUCCGUUCCGUCUCUCACUAAUACAAGACGGGGAUAAGCCGGACAUGACCCCUGACUCGAUUCCCGUCUUCUCUAGUGGGAAUUCUGAUCCCGCUCAGUCAGUGAGGAUGUCCAUGCUCAGUAGCUUCUUCUCUGUCAGCUUCUUAACCGCGUGGGGCCUUUCCCUCUCUUCCUCUUUUUUAAGGUAACCGUCCAGUCUUGGAAGUGAGGGUGUUGCAAUCAUUCCAAUCCCUCUACUCGUCUAUUAGCAGUUUCCUGAAGCCAUUCUGCUAUCAUUCUAGUUUUUAGUAAAGUGACUGCCGUUGUUGAUGUUCGAUCGUUUAACUCGCAGCCAAGGAAUGUUCCUGAUCUGCGAACAGAACCAAAGUCGUACUCUCUUUUCUAAAGCAAGGAAUUUCCUUUCAUUCAUAAGUCACACAAGAAUUUCUCAAGGUUGCAGGCAAGGCUACUAGAGAAGGGGUGAAACCAGCCAAGGGCGGGCUCCAAGGCGACAAUAGCAAUCGAGUGGCCAAGCGUUGAAAGAGAGGAAGGGCUAGCGGCAAAAAAGAAUAAGAAUAACAGAAGUUCUUGAGGGGAGAUCUUUUCACUCUUUCUCGAUGCAAUAAUAGUCAGUCUAGUGACUUCUUGAUAGCAUUGGUCUCGGAAAGCCCUCCCUCGGUACCGGGCUAAGGAUAGAAGCGAUUCCACCAGAGUGAAAUUCCGUACUUAUCCCAGCUCUCAAGGAAGAUUCGAAGUAGGUACCUAUGUCAUGCUGAAUUUCAAAGUAGUUUUGAGGUAAUCGAUGGCAUAUUGCCUAGAAGCGUCAAAGACAGUGAUAUAUUUCGGUGUCGAUAUCGGCUCUGUUCAUCGACCCGACUCUGUUUAUCUCCGACUAAACCGACUCUUUGUCCCGAUCCGGUAACUACACGGCUUAUUGUGGUAAAAGAGAAAGUCAAACUCACAACUCUUUUUCCUUUUCUCGUGCACUUUCCUAAGGGCUACGUACUUCACUCCAUUACCUUCUAUUCGAACUCUGACACUUCUCUCAUUGUGAAAUUUCUAUCUAAGUCCUGACAGCCCCUAACUUUGGCAAAGACUACUCGCUCGCUUUAAAAGCAACUCCAUUGAGUCCUGUCAGAUCGUUUAUAUAUAACCUUUAUUCAUAUAUGACCUUAGAAAGGUUCUGAAAGAAAGAAGAGUUCCAUUCGAUUAUCCGGGCUCAUUGCCUAGUCCCUCUAAACUAUCUAAAGCCUGGGGAUUCUCCUUACCAGAUGAUCUCCAGCCUGCAUUGUGCCCCUCUCGGAUACCCUGCAGGGUCGACGUAACUCUUACCUAGGUAGACUGGCUAUCCAACUGAAUCGAGAGCCCAGCUCCCACUACUUCUUCGUAAGUGAGGUGAGGUACUUCUUUUGAAUAGGCAGGGUUGUUCUAGGAUGACUCAAGUGACGAUGCUGACACCAAGGUUGCUUGCAAAGCAUCGGAUAUGCGAAAGAGGGAGAAUGUGCUACAUCGGAUAUUGCUGUAGUUGAUGAAAGAGCUGUAGUUUAUGCUAAAGCAUCGGUUACGAAUGACCCAAUCUAUCUAUGGUAACCACCCUUACUUUUAGUAGAUGGAGAUGCGCACCUAGGAAAGACGGAUGAAAGAGAACCUGCCCUAAGAGAUUGGCAUAGGCCUGUGGGCCCGCUGCGGUAGAAGGCCUUUGCUGGCCUGUCGAUCUAUCCUGAUUAACUUACUGACGCUAUUUCUGACUAGAGAGAGGGCUUAGAUCGGAGAGGAGCAGCUCUUUUCUUUUUAACAUAAAGCAGUGAUGAAUGGGACGGAGCUGCUACAAUCAAUAGCUUCAGCUGCUUUAUGUAUUGGAGCAGAGGUGGCAGUUAGCAGCAGGAACAGGACCAGCAACUAGGGUUGUUCACAGAGCAGCCGUCUUUCCGUCUCAAGCGGAGAAGACAUCAAAAGAAUCUUUAUCUAUGGCUCUACCAGGGAAUCCUAGUUAGUUAUAGGGUUCUGAACCAGAGCAGAGAUAGGAAAAAGCAUAUCCUAUGUAUACUGAACCUGAGCUUGCUUACCAUAGGACUGCUAUUGGAUAGGUUUACCUUUUUUCUCCAACUCGCUUAUUAUAGUGGGAAGCUCGGCUGGUAAGGGAUUCUAUUAGGAUAGGACUCCAACUGUAAGAACUGGCCUUAGUACUGCAGCAAUUGGAAGGAGAACUGAAAAGACCUUCGACCAUUUCAUUUGGUAGCACGUUUAGCUCGUUAUGAAACGUAUUGUUAGAACUAGAAGUGUUCUUAGUCCAGGUAAGAGUCCAAUGCUAGAUUAAUAAUGUAAAAUAUGAGAUAUCCUAAGGUAUUUAAUUGCUUGUUUGAUAGAAUAAGGAGGAAAGAAGUCUGUUUCCUAUUGAUAGUGGCACUCCCACAGGCUGGCGGGGAACUCCCAUAUGGAUGGCUGAGAAUAAUUCAUAUAUAGGCUAUAGGCUUGAAAAGAGUGCUAGCUUUCGUUAGGCCUUUCUUUUCCUAAAGAUAGGAUCCCACCUUCCCUAAUUCUGAGCAAGAACAUCUUAUUCAAUUCAACAAGUGCUACCCACUAAUCUAAUCUAAUCUCAGUCGAAUGCUCCUUAAGUUUAAGGGGUAAGUCCUCAACGAAAAGCCAUAACUCUUAACCGUUCGGAUCCCAUAUACGCAUGGGCUACUUCACUCCUUUCUUUAUUUCACGUUUUCUCGGGAAAAUUAGUUGCAAAUAGAUUUCUGCCCAUAAACGGACAUUCAAAUCGAUCAACUCGCUAAAACCCCGUAUUUUUUAUUGCAAGUCAAUUUUUGCCUAUAGACGGACAUUGAAAUCGAUACAGUUUCAUUUUCCCGGGAAUUUUGCGGAAAGAUUGGCUGAAUUCCUAUCCCAAGAGCGGAUUCUGAUUCAGUAGUUUUCUUCAGGUUGGGUCGGCUUGAGCUUGAGACAGAUGUGGUUCUUCUGGGUCAGUGCCAAUGGGAACUACAUAUCAAAGAGACCGGGUUCCAUUUAGUUCCAAAGACUGGUAGGGAUAGGGAUCAAUUCAAUCGACCUACUUCCCCUUACUAUAAAUAUAAAUAGUAAAACUACUCUGUCCCAUAGUGAGAGUGGAGUUCCAAGCGACCAUUUUCUGCCCAGCUUUCUUUCCUUUUGUGAAAGCAUAUGACAUAGUUAAAGAAAAAGAAGAGAAUGCAAGCGGAACUUCAUCCGUAAGCGGUGUUGGAGGACUAGCAAUUGAAUCAGCUGUUGAUGCAAUAAAAGCUGUGAUCCUAGGAGCUGCACAUGAUGGGGAAUAGCCGGUGCAUCGAUAUUCUGUAAGUGUUCCAUAAACCGGAGGAUUUCCGCUUUGAGAUCUCAAAGGAGCUCAUCUGAAGCCCCUCCCAGGCCAAGUUCCCCCACUGAAAAAGCUAGAGAAAGGUUGCUCAGCCCCGACUUCCCUAGGCCCUUCGUUCAACUCGCCUUUUGGCGACUACACUUCCUACCCAAAAUAAUAGAUAGAAAUAUCGCAAAUAGAGCCAUUGCAACACCCAUCAAGGGAGUAGUUCCCCACCCCGGAGCUACUUUACCAUAUUCUGAAUUUAAUGGUUUCAAUAAAUCACCUACAACAGUUCGUCUUGGACCAGAUCUAGAAUUAUCCUCAACGGUUUGCGUAGCCAUAAAUACUAUUUUUUAUUCAUUGAGAUCUGUUUACUUUGUAUAUCAUUCCGCUGUAAAUAUAAGGAUCUUAUCCUAUAGAUCUAUUGUGGUCUUGAAACUUUAUAAUUCUAAUAAUGGAAACAGCAACCCUAAUUGCCAUCUCUAUCAGCUAGUUAGCUAGCCGCUCUUUCCCUAGUCUUAGCUAGUCUCAUUUUCCUUCGGCUUCUUGUAAGGCUCACUUCACUUCUGGCUUCUGGCCAGGCAUAGAAUUCUUUGACCGGCUUUGGUCGAGCAACCGGAACGGCCACUGCCUACAUAACUUGCUCUUUUCAAGUAUCAGACCUUCUGUAGUUAUCGGUCCUUUUUUAUACAGUUCCUGACAGGUGCGUGGCCAGCCCUGAAGUAUUCUGUGAGCCCAAUCUGUUUCACCCCCGUUCCCACCUCUUGAUUUUGCUCCUUCUAACAUCUCGAAUUGAGACCAGUCACCCUCCUUUUUUUGGGGGAAGGUACUCCCCUAUUAGUCCUUUCAGAAGACUUUUGUCUUCUUUGAUUCUGCUAAUCCAUUCCCGAAGAUUUUCAACACCUAUCUCCGAGGUAAUUUCUAGUUGUUCCAUAAUUAGAAGGGCUACUGAGGAGUUUAUCUCCCUUUGCUCGGGAAAAAGUUUGGUCAAAGGACCUACUCCUUUCUCCGAUUCUUCUCGAACUUGUUCUCUUAUUAAGGCUUUAAUUUCCUCUUUUAGUUCGGAUACUUCAGCAGGGUGAGCUUCCUGCGCCGGGGCUGGCGCCUGCGGUAACGGCGCUUGCUCUUGAGCCCCCCCCGGGGAAGCGACCGGAUUAGCGGGGGCGUUUUGGGCGUCGGGUUGGGCAACCUCUUCACCCUCCUCAUUAGGAAAGGGUUCGCCCAGGACGUUUAUAUCAAAAGACGUCCACCCGGAGCCCCUACUGCUACCCCCCAUUUCACUUCUCCCUCCCACUGAGAUGGAGUUGGAUCCGCCGGACGAUGCAGCAGCUCCUUCCGGAUCCAUCAUCUUUAGUUCCCAACCAUAAAUGAAAAAGCCUACUAGAAUUCCAAGGAAAGGCAAGCCAAGCAUCGUCAAUAUGUGACGGAUCGUUCUACCGGAUUUAAGUUUUCCAAAAUAAAUAGUCAAAUCCAAGUCGAGUACCAAAGACAAGGAAUAGAAUAAGGUGAAUACGCAACACAGUAUAAAAAAACGUAUGGCAAUGUCUAUAGCUCUUCUGACCGAAAUCGGAUUUCCUUUUCGUGCCAUAUGCGCACUUUAUUUACUUUUUCCCCUUUUUUCUUCCCGGUUUAAUAUUUGUUCUCGAAAGUCUUCGUUUCCGUGUAAAAGCAAACUCUCCAAAUUGUUAACCAAGCAAGGUCGCUUACAACACUAACGGAACACUUUCUCAAUCUAUAAACUGUAAAGAUGCGAUGAGAUAUGAUAGAAGAUGUUCUCUAUAUACAACACUAUUUCAAAGAAAUUCAAUU